Molecule: ribosomal RNA, 392 nt
Filed under: uncultured bacterium
Lineage: Bacteria
Description: partial 16S ribosomal RNA
Rfam family: Bacterial small subunit ribosomal RNA
Source: RNAcentral
UACGGAGGCUGCUAGCGUUAUCCGGAUUUAUUGGGUUUAAAGGGUGCGUAGGCUGUGCGUUAAGUCAGGGGUGAAAUGCCGUCGCUCAACGACGGAGCUGCCCUUGAUACUGGCGUGCUGGAGUACGGAUGCCGUUGGAGGAAUGAGUGGUGUAGCGGUGAAAUGCUUAGAUAUCACUCAGAACACCGAUUGCGAAGGCAUCUGACGAAUCCGUCACUGACGCUGAGGCACGAAAGCGUGGGGAUAGAACAGGAUUAGAUACCCUGGUAUUCCACGCCGUAAACGAUGAUGACUAACCGUCGGCGAUAGACAGCCGGUGGCCAAGCGAAAGCGAUAAGUCAUCCACCUGGGGAGUACGUCGGCAACGAUGAAACUCAAAGGAAUUGACGGGG